GUGAUGACGGCAAGGGUGGACGAUGCGGCCCGAAUCCUUAACCGGAUAAGCCGGAGAAUCAC
Molecule: non-coding RNA, 62 nt
Filed under: unclassified sequences
Source: RNAcentral